This is a long non-coding RNA of Daktulosphaira vitifoliae (grape phylloxera), 570 nucleotides long. RefSeq lists it as uncharacterized. NCBI's taxonomy places the organism in Eukaryota, Metazoa, Arthropoda, Insecta, Hemiptera, Phylloxeridae. The transcript has 2 exons. The record is from RefSeq and is a predicted model, not a curated record.
GUCUAAAAAAAAAGAUAAUAUGAGAUCUAAAAUAAAUAAAAAGAAUUAUAAUUAUUGGAUAAUUUGCUUAUUAAAAUUUUAGUUUUCUAAAAUGGUUUUUGAAUUAUAAUGACUUAUGAUUAUAUUUAGAUUAAUCGCACUAAGUUCUGGAGAAAAUGAUUUGAACAUAGAUAUCUGGGAAAAAUGUAAAGGACUUGAAGCAGAGCGUAAACUAAGAAACUAAUAACCUUAAAUUUCAAUUUCUGAAAUUAUUCAUAUUUUAUAUGUUGCUUAACACCAAUCAAUUGUGAUUGGUAAUGAUACUGAUGUAUCCUGUAAACAUUUUAAGUGCAUUGGUUUUCCAUUCCCUUCUACACUGUAUUUUAAACAAAAAAUAUCAAUCUUUAAUAAAUAAAUUUAGUAAAAUAUAACUAGUGAAUAACAAGUAGUGCGAAUAUAAAUUAAAGAAUAUGAUAUACAUACAACUAUUUGGCAAAUUUACUUUUGAGAAAAAUAACAUUUGAACUGGUUUUACAAUGUGCUAACUAUUAUGCAAAUGGUAAGUGGACCAUUAUUUCAUGUGUGCUAAUU